UACUUACCAUUGUCUUGCUUCUUUCGUCGGAGGGCUCUCAUUGUGCUUUCCGAAAAGCUAUCACAUGCCAACUUUGGCCUCACGGUUUAAAAGUUAUGAGUCAAAAAGUUUUAACAUAAAAAAAAAGGGAUGCAACACGAGGACUUCUCAGGAGGUCACCCAUCCUAGUAUUACUCUCGCCAAAGCACGUUUAACUGUGGAGUUCUGAUGGGAUCCGUUGCAUUCGUUUUGGUAUGAUCACAUCCGUUAGUACAUGCUAUGCAAUCGUAUUUAUACUUUUUUGGC
Molecule: small RNA, 285 nt
Filed under: Arabidopsis thaliana (thale cress)
Lineage: Eukaryota; Viridiplantae; Streptophyta; Magnoliopsida; Brassicales; Brassicaceae
Description: ATSL088390
Source: RNAcentral